GAUGAACGCUGGCGGCGUGCUUAACACAUGCAAGUCGAACGAGCAAUGUAGACGGAAACCUUCGGGCGGAAGCCUUCAUUUCGAGUGGCGGACGGGUGAGUAACGCGUGGGUAACCUGCCUCAUCCAGGGGGAUAACAGUUGGAAACGACUGUUAAUACCGCAUCAGACCACAGCAUCGCAUGAUGCGGGGGUAAAAACUCCGGUGGUAUGAGAUGGACCCGCGUUCGAUUAGCCAGUUGGCGGGGUAACGGCCCACCAAAGCGACGAUCGAUAGCCGAUCUGAGAGGAUGACCGGCCACAUUGGGACUGAGACACGGCCCAAACUCCUACGGGAGGCAGCAGUGGGGAAUAUUGCACAAUGGGGGAAACCCUGAUGCAGCGACGCCGCGUGAGUGAAGAAGUACUUCGGUAUGUAAAGCUCUAUCAGCAGGGAAGAAAAUGACGGUACCUGAGUAAGAAGCCCCGGCUAACUACGUG
This 478-nucleotide ribosomal RNA is filed under the name uncultured bacterium. RNAcentral describes it as "partial 16S ribosomal RNA". It matches the Rfam family "Bacterial small subunit ribosomal RNA", at positions 28 to 507 of the family's 1533-position model. The record is from RNAcentral.